This 23-nucleotide non-coding RNA is filed under the name Arabidopsis thaliana (thale cress). The record is from RNAcentral. Lineage: Eukaryota; Viridiplantae; Streptophyta; Magnoliopsida; Brassicales; Brassicaceae.
ACGGAUCGGGCUAUGAUACCAUA